RNAcentral lists this long non-coding RNA (2719 nucleotides) under Panax ginseng (ginseng). Its description in RNAcentral is "long non-coding RNA (PGIN_LNC003157)". Lineage: Eukaryota; Viridiplantae; Streptophyta; Magnoliopsida; Apiales; Araliaceae. The record is from RNAcentral.
AUAGAUAUCAGCUGGAUUUCCAGCACACGGGUGACACCUAACCCCAUUUAAUCUUAUCUACUCACCAACUCUCUCUCCCCCCUUAAUUAUUUGGGCAAAAAGUAAAGAAAGAGAAAAAUAACAAUCAAAGUCAUUCUCUCUCAUUUCUUCCAUUCCCACCAACCAUGAGAAAGAAAUAGAGGGGGAUAUCAGCCAUUGAUGGAGCAAGAGAGAGAGGUAGCCAUGGAAGGAGAAGAAGAAAAGAGAUGAAGAAAAUAGAAAAUGAAGAAAACUCAUUAAAGGUACUUUCUAAAAUUAAAUCUAUAGUAAUUUCUUGGAUAGAUUUCUUCUAAAAUCUGAAAUCCCUACCAUGUUUAUGUUUUUUGUUUAUGUCUCAACUGGUGGGUAGCCAUUGAAGCAUGGUAGAAGAAGCUAAGGAAGAAAACAAGAGGUAUAGGGAAUAUUAACCCUUAAAUUAUGUUUAAUCUUGUUUUUAUGGGAGUUUAAUAAAAUAGAUGAUAGAUCAUGGAAGAUUCUUGAUCUUAAGGAGUAAUAGUAUGUAUUAUGAUGGUUAAUGUUUGAUUAAUCAAGAGAUCAUGGAAGUUUUCUUAGAAAUCAUAAAGGUUAGAAAAUCAGAUUUUUGAGAAAACAAAACCUGAAAUUCAAACGAUCAUAUCUCUCAUUCUAUUUCGAAUUUUUGAGUGUUGUCAAUUCCUAGAGUUAUAUCUAUGAGUCUUUUAAUAUCUCCAAGUGGAAUCACUGAAAAAGGAGUUUUAUAAUUUUGUAUGGACUAUUUUUGGCAAAGUAGAAAAAAUCUGGAAAUACCAAAAAAGUAAAUUGUCCAAAAGUUUGCAAGGGAAUUUUUGGCCAUUUAAUUAUUGAAAUAAAAUCAGGCCUUUUGGAACAUAAAAAUAUAUGAUAUAAAGUAGCUCCUGUCCAAAGAUGAGCUUAUUCCGACCUAAAUCAAUCGAGUUAUGGCCAUUUCAAUUUUUGGAAUUUUCAGACAAAAAUGGCUAUAAAUAAAGUUCUAUAACUCCGAUGGCCACAAAAUUUAAACUAGAUGUUCACGUUAAUACGUGCAAGAUUCUGCCAAGAGAUGGGAAUUUUUGGAGUUAAGCAUGAUAUAGCUAAUUUUCUUAAGUUACGAACUAAAAACGGACUUUUGAAAAAUAUUAAAUGAAAUUGAAAAAUUUCAUAAAAAUUAUUUUUGUGCAUGGAAUAUAUGUAUAUACGUGUGGCCAAGAGAUUAAAAAAAUAAGAUGAUUUGGUAUUUUUCAUGCUUAUAAUUAAGUUAAGAAUAAUUGAGAAAAUUAGAUUAUAUUAAGUCCUAAAAUUUGUUAAUAUGAUUUUAGUAACUAAUGAUCAUUAAUAUGUUAUAUUAAGACCAUAUAAGAGUAAUUUGGUCAUUUUUGAUAAAAUGUUAUAUGAAAGUUUUGAUAUGUUUGUUAAAUGAAUUAAAUGGUAAGAGAUAAACAAUUAACUUAAAAUUGUUUAUAAGUUUAUAAAUGAAUAAAAUAUUAUUAAAUGAUUAAUAGUAUUAGUAAAGGAAUAAAAUAUUAUUAAAUGAAUAAUAAUAUUAGAUAAUGAUUAAAAUAUUAUUAAAUGAUUAAUAAUAUUUGUAAAUGAAGAAGAUAUUAUUAGAUUAUUGAAUAUUAUUAAAGGGUGUUAAUAAUAUUAGAAAUUGAUAAAAAUAUUAUUAAAUAAUUAAUAAUAUUUGUUAAUGAUUAAGAUUUUAUUGAAUUUUAAGAAGUGAUUAAAUAUUAUUAAGUGAUUAAUAAUAUUAAGUGACUAAAAUAUUAUUAAAGGAUUAAUAAUAUUAGAAAAGAAUUUAAGAUGGUGAUUAAAUGAUGGUAAUAUUAUUUAGGGAUGAUAAUAUCACUAGUAAGUUAAAGAAUUAGUCAAUAUUUGAUUAUGUGGCUAAAUGUUUGCUAAUUUAUUAUUUGAGUAAUAGUACUGUGAGCUAAAAAGUAUGUUAUGCUAUAUUGAAGGAUCAAUCUUAUAACUGAUAGGUCUUUCAUGAGAGAUUAAAUUAGAUUGUUUAGCAGUAAUCAGCGGUAUAGGCAAGUUUCCUAACUCAAACUCGAGUGAUUAUAUUUCAAGCAUGCUAGUGGUUUAAUUAUUUAUAAUUAUUCCACAUCUUUGAUUAUUGAUUCACAUUUAGUUCAUGUUGCAUAUAUUCAUCAGGUAUGAAAGGCUAAUCACCCUCAUUACCAUAAGGUUCAAUUAAAUUUGUUCAUGGUCAUUGUUGAUCACUCAAUGUUAUUGAUUCAAUCAUUCAAUUAUUGAAAUUUUGAUUCAUUCUUUUUCAUAAUUAUUAUAUAUUGUUGAAAACUUGAAUGCUUAUUCCUUUUCAAUCAUGAUAUAUCUUCAUUAUAUUUAAACUUGCUUAGCAAAUUAGUUGCUCACUCUUGCUAUAUCAUGAUAACAUUUUCAGUUAAGAUGAGCGUUCGAAGAAGGACAGAGACAAUAGCAAAGGACAAGAUUAGAUUAUUAUGCACGUUAACUAUUUAGUUAUCUGAUGUAAGUUAUUUAUGUAAACCUUGUGUGAAUCUAAAGGUAUAUAUGUAAUUAAGUUAAGGUUAGAAACCUUAGAAAAUCAUUUGAAAAUGAACAAUGUAUGUAUGUAUAUUCUGCAAUAGUUAUAGAAUAAGUAUGAAGAUGAUGUAUCAUGACGUACCAGAUCUGUGAUUAAAGGGACCCGAAUUUGGGGACGUUACAAUAUCUCUCCUUUCAAUAUGCU